CUCCUCCUCUUCAGCCUCCUUUCUCUUCUCCUCUUCCUCCUCUUCUUCCUCCUCCUCUCUUUUCCUCCUCCUCCUCCUCCUCCUCUUUUCUCCUCCUCCUCUUCAACCUCCUUUCUCUCCUCCUCUUCCUCCUUUUCUUCUCCUCCUUCUCUUUCUCCUUCUCUUCCUCCUCCUCUUCCUCUUCCUCCUUCUCUUUCUCGUCUUGCUCCUCCCCCUCUCCUCCUCCUCAACUUCCUUGUUUCUCUUCUCCUUCUCCUUCUUUUCCUGCCAUGAGAGGAGACUACGUUGGAACAAUUGUCUUCACCUGAUAACAACCAUCCUUUCCUAGGAAUUGGGGGAAGAGACCUAGUUUCUUUGGUCUCCUGGAGAGUUGAGGAAUGCUUCAUCCGUGCAGCUGGACAUUUUUGCAUCCAUCAUGUCCCCGAGAACAAAGCAAGUUGCUAAGUUCCAUCCUUCAACAAAGAGGGAACUGGCAGGAAACAGGUUUCGAAGAAGACUCAAGAAAAGUCUCAUUGAUGGGUGGUCACUGCAACUGAUCCGUAGGAUUGAAAAAAGCUCCAUGCCAAUCUUGGUUUAGCAAUCCUUAGAAGCUAGGUUCGCGUGUCCUUCUAGUUCAGUGUUAAGACGGGAAUUGAGGCCACUGCUCCCCUUCCCUUGACUGUAGGGUUGGCCCAGGUGAAGCCCAUUCAACAUGGCGGCCUUGACUAGAGGUUCCUGGACCCGGACUCCUGGACUCGGAUGAUUCAGAAAGUGAGGGAGAAGACCUGGCCAGCCCUGCUUCUCUUGAGCCCUUUCCCUCCCUGGCACCCACUCAAAGGGAGGAGGAGGGGCCGGCAAAGCCUGAUACCAUGGAGCCUCUUUCUGAUUUGGCAACGCCCCAAGAACAGUUUUGGAGUGACGCAAGGUUACGUAGACGUGAUCGGCGUGCGCAGCAGCGGAAGAGUUGGGACAAAGCCAAGUCAUAAUUGUCAUGCGGUGACAUCUGCAGAGACUAUAAAUAGGAGGCGGGACUUCCUGGUUUUUUGUCUUGGACAAAGUAAUGAAUUUGGGCGGGCAAUCUGUAUCAAUGGAGGGAAGAAUAUAUUCGUGAGUAAUUCUGGCCUUAUCUGUAAUUUCCUUGUUAUCUCCAGAAACUUGGCAGGCCCGUGGGUAGACGUAGCCAGGACAUUUAUAUAUAUGUAAAUAAAUCAGAAAAGGAGGCCUCUGACUGACUCUUUGCUGGGAGUAUUGGGG
This is a long non-coding RNA of Ahaetulla prasina, 1233 nucleotides long. RefSeq lists it as uncharacterized. The transcript has 4 exons. NCBI's taxonomy places the organism in Eukaryota, Metazoa, Chordata, Lepidosauria, Squamata, Colubridae. The record is from RefSeq and is a predicted model, not a curated record.